Molecule: ribosomal RNA, 253 nt
Filed under: uncultured bacterium
Lineage: Bacteria
Description: partial 16S ribosomal RNA
Rfam family: Bacterial small subunit ribosomal RNA
Source: RNAcentral
GACGAACCGUGCGAACGUUGUUCGGAAUCACUGGGCUUAAAGGGCGCGUAGGCGGCUUGCCAAGUCAGGGGUGAAAUCCUGCAGCUCAACUGUAGAAGUGCCUUUGAUACUGGCGAGCUCGAGGGAGGUAGGGGUGGGUGGAACUUCUGGUGGAGCGGUGAAAUGCGUUGAUAUCAGAAGGAACGCCGGUGGCGAAAGCGACCCACUGGACCUCUUCUAACGCUGAGGCGCGAAAGCCAGGGGAGCAAACGGG